RNAcentral lists this ribosomal RNA (253 nucleotides) under uncultured bacterium. Its description in RNAcentral is "partial 16S ribosomal RNA". It matches the Rfam family "Bacterial small subunit ribosomal RNA", at positions 524 to 776 of the family's 1533-position model. The record is from RNAcentral.
UACAGAGGGGGCAAGCGUUGUUCGGAAUUACUGGGCGUAAAGGGCGUGUAGGCGGCCUUCUAAGUCGAACGUGAAAUCCCCGGGCUCAACCCGGGAACUGCGUCCGAUACUGGAAGGCUUGAAUCCGGGAGAGGGAUGCGGAAUUCCAGGUGUAGCGGUGAAAUGCGUAGAUAUCUGGAGGAACACCGGUGGCGAAGGCGGCAUCCUGGACCGGUAUUGACGCUGAGGCGCGAAAGCCAGGGGAGCAAACGGG